Molecule: ribosomal RNA, 235 nt
Filed under: uncultured bacterium
Lineage: Bacteria
Description: partial 16S ribosomal RNA
Rfam family: Bacterial small subunit ribosomal RNA
Source: RNAcentral
UGAGUAACCUGCCCUUAACUCUGGGAUAAGCCUGGGAAACUGGGUCUAAUACCGGAUAUGACUCCUCAUCGCAUGGUGGGGGGUGGAAAGCUUUUUGUGGUUUUGGAUGGGCUCGCGGCCUAUCAGCUUGUUGGUGAGGUAAUGGCUCACCAAGGCGACGACGGGUAGCCGGCCUGAGAGGGUGACCGGCCACACUGGGACUGAGACACGGCCCAGACCUCCGUACGGGAGGCAG